This 107-nucleotide small nuclear RNA is filed under the name Saimiri boliviensis boliviensis (Bolivian squirrel monkey). Lineage: Eukaryota; Metazoa; Chordata; Mammalia; Primates; Cebidae. The record is from RNAcentral.
GUGCUCACUUUGGCAACACAUAUACUAAAAUUGGAACAAUGCAGAGAAGAUUAGCAUGGCCCCUGUGCAAGGAUGACAUGCAAAUUCAUGAAGCGUUUCAUAUUUUU